Asparagus officinalis (garden asparagus) is the source of this 676-nucleotide long non-coding RNA. RefSeq lists it as uncharacterized. The record is from RefSeq and is a predicted model, not a curated record. Lineage: Eukaryota; Viridiplantae; Streptophyta; Magnoliopsida; Asparagales; Asparagaceae. The transcript has 3 exons.
GAUCCCGAUCUCUUCCCCCAAAUUAUCAUCCUCGGCUCCCGCCUCCCGCCUCCCGCUGUCGAGCCGACGCCGACGCAUCCUCGGCUCCCGCCUCCCGCCUCCCACUGUCGAGCCGACGCCGACGCCGAGAUAAGGUUGUCUUUGGUGAUAUCUUUGAUCUUUUCGGAACCGCUCCAGAUUCAACUGCAGGUUUCUCUUGGAUCUCUCUGUCAACAUGAAUACAAAUUCAUCCGAGACAAAAGAAGAUGAUGAAUGGGCUAUACAAAGGAAAAAGAUAAAAUAUUCAGCAGGGAUUGUGGCUGCAUAUGCAGCAUAUGCAAGUGCUAUUAUGGCAACUAAUAUCUACCAAGUGGAGUAUAUAGAUAGAUCAAUCUUAGCUCAAAAAGAUGAACAUAGGAACUUACUUAUGGAGCGACUUACUCAACAAAGUGAUGGAGAUCCCAAAACUUUCACCUAAUAUGUGUACGUAGGAGGUAGCAAACCAAAACAAGCUCUCGGUUUUUGUAUAUAGAGUCACUCAUCUCAUCUCCUUAAUUUUGCUUGUAACUGCACUGAACAAAUAUUCUCUUUUCUAUACCUGCAUUGAUGUAUCCUUCUAUGGCUAUUUGUGCUACAGCUCCAAUACAGCCGUGACGGAAUAUAUUGUGUGCAACUAAUAAUUUUGUGUUUUCUUUAU